RNAcentral lists this long non-coding RNA (288 nucleotides) under Erythranthe guttata (spotted monkey flower). RNAcentral describes it as "long non-coding RNA (EGUT_LNC003452)". The record is from RNAcentral. Lineage: Eukaryota; Viridiplantae; Streptophyta; Magnoliopsida; Lamiales; Phrymaceae.
UUCAUGUUUUGCCAAUGGUAGAUAUUUAGGAAGUUAAUUUUUGAGCCGGCAAUGUUUAUGUUCAAAUGGUUUCCACUAUCGCUUGUGGACGAUAUCAUGCUGGUUUUCGUACAGGUAAUCUAAACGAAAAAUACGGGCUAAAACGACCCGCAUGAGCCCGAUGGAGAUCAAGAACAGACAAGGAAAAACCCAUGUUCUCGGCAAUAUUUUUAAGAACUAGCCUCUGUGACAACCUAUGUAGCACGUAAACUUCAAUUUCUUAACAUUUUCGGAUACGUUUUGCUUCCC